RNAcentral lists this ribosomal RNA (471 nucleotides) under Rhizophagus intraradices. Its description in RNAcentral is "eukaryotic LSU rRNA". It matches the Rfam family "Eukaryotic large subunit ribosomal RNA", at positions 288 to 629 of the family's 3401-position model. The record is from RNAcentral. Lineage: Eukaryota; Fungi; Glomeromycota; Glomeromycetes; Glomerales; Glomeraceae.
UAAAAUGGGAGGUAAAUUUCUCCUAAGGCUAAAUAACGGCGAGAGACCGAUAGCGAACAAGUACCGUGAGGGAAAGAUGAAAAGAACUUUGAAAAGAGAGUUAAACAGUACGUGAAAUUGUUGAAAGGGAAACGAUUGAAGCCAGUCGUACCUUCGGGUAAUCAGCCUUUCGGGUGCGAUUCUGUGGAGUGUGAGGAGCUUAACACCUUCAUGCUUUGCAUAUUUGUGCUCUUGGGUGUACUUGCCCGUGUGGUAGGUUAACAUCAAUUUUGAUUAUCAUAAAAUGACUGGAGGAAUGUAGCUUCGAUCUCGUAUUGAAGUGUUAUAGCCUUUGGUAGAUGUGAUGAUCGAGAUUGAGGAUUGCAACGGAUACCCUUCGGGGCUACCUGUCUGGUCUCUGAUCGUUGCUCUGGUGCCGAAAGCGUGCUUACGGUUAUCAAAGUCGAUGGUCAAUAGGUUAGAACGGGUUAA